This 466-nucleotide ribosomal RNA is filed under the name uncultured bacterium. RNAcentral describes it as "partial 16S ribosomal RNA". It matches the Rfam family "Bacterial small subunit ribosomal RNA", at positions 28 to 507 of the family's 1533-position model. The record is from RNAcentral.
GAUGAACGCUGGCGGCGUGCUUAACACAUGCAAGUCGAACGGAAAGGCCCAAGCUUGCUUGGGUACUCGAGUGGCGAACGGGUGAGUAACACGUGGGUGAUCUGCCCUGCACUUCGGGAUAAGCCUGGGAAACUGGGUCUAAUACCGGAUAGGACCACAUUUUGGAUGGUGUGGUGGAAAGUUUUUCGGUGUGGGAUGAGCUCGCGGCCUAUCAGCUUGUUGGUGGGGUAAUGGCCUACCAAGGCGUCGACGGGUAGCCGGCCUGAGAGGGUGUACGGCCACAUUGGGACUGAGAUACGGCCCAGACUCCGACGGGAGGCAGCAGUGGGGAAUAUUGCACAAUGGGCGCAAGCCUGAUGCAGCGACGCCGCGGGGGGGAUGACGGCCUUCGGGUUGUAAACUCCUUUCGCUAGGGACGAAGCGUUAUGUGACGGUACCUGGAGAAGAAGCACCGGCUAACUACGUG